RNAcentral lists this ribosomal RNA (674 nucleotides) under Salmonella enterica. RNAcentral describes it as "bacterial SSU rRNA". It matches the Rfam family "Bacterial small subunit ribosomal RNA", at positions 108 to 778 of the family's 1533-position model. Lineage: Bacteria; Pseudomonadati; Pseudomonadota; Gammaproteobacteria; Enterobacterales; Enterobacteriaceae. The record is from RNAcentral. RNAcentral also lists the same sequence under 1 other name.
GAGUAAUGUCUGGGAAACUGCCUGAUGGAGGGGGAUAACUACUGGAAACGGUGGCUAAUACCGCAUAACGUCGCAAGACCAAAGAGGGGGACCUUCGGGCCUCUUGCCAUCAGAUGUGCCCAGAUGGGAUUAGCUUGUUGGUGAGGUAACGGCUCACCAAGGCGACGAUCCCUAGCUGGUCUGAGAGGAUGACCAGCCACACUGGAACUGAGACACGGUCCAGACUCCUACGGGAGGCAGCAGUGGGGAAUAUUGCACAAUGGGCGCAAGCCUGAUGCAGCCAUGCCGCGUGUAUGAAGAAGGCCUUCGGGUUGUAAAGUACUUUCAGCGGGGAGGAAGGUGUUGUGGUUAAUAACCGCAGCAAUUGACGUUACCCGCAGAAGAAGCACCGGCUAACUCCGUGCCAGCAGCCGCGGUAAUACGGAGGGUGCAAGCGUUAAUCGGAAUUACUGGGCGUAAAGCGCACGCAGGCGGUCUGUCAAGUCGGAUGUGAAAUCCCCGGGCUCAACCUGGGAACUGCAUUCGAAACUGGCAGGCUUGAGUCUUGUAGAGGGGGGUAGAAUUCCAGGUGUAGCGGUGAAAUGCGUAGAGAUCUGGAGGAAUACCGGUGGCGAAGGCGGCCCCCUGGACAAAGACUGACGCUCAGGUGCGAAAGCGUGGGGAGCAAACAGGAU